AUUUGAAUAGUUUAUAAUUUUUUUUUUUCAAAACAAACUCUCUCUCUCUCUAACCCAAGCGAAACAAAAUCACUCUCUCAGGCUCUCUAACCCUCGAUGAAGACUCCUCCAUCUCGCCGGGAAGACGAUGGCAUCACAAUGUCACUAUCUCUCUCUCUCUCUCUUUGUAACCCUCGAUUUAAUGAAGAGCUCCUUCAAGUCGUCGGUUAAAAUCUUGAACGAAUUAGAACGAUUCAUUCAACGGGGAAGACGAUGGCAUCACAAAAGUCACUCUCUCUCUCUCUAACCCUCAAUUCAGUCUUCGUACCUCGAACGAAGAAAUCUAGGAAAACGGGGAAGACGAAGGCAACCUUGAGGUUAAGAUCUUCAAAUCUGAUAUCCAUUGUAUAUUUUAUUUUAAUAUUACUACAGUAUAUGUGUCUGCAAUCUAGAUCUCCACAAAUAUAAAAGAACCGUGGUGUAUUUGUGAGGUGCAAUAUCGAUCUGCUUCAAAUUUGACAUGUGCAUUGUAGGCUGGAGAUUUAAUGUUAGCCGAGAUGUAUUUUGUGAACCUAGACCCAACGUCUUAAUCGUCCGUCAGUCCCCCAUUUUUGCAAUGAACAGAAUUUGAAUGAUUUCGUCAAUUUGUAAAUACGUUUUGUUUUCAAAUUUUGUAUGAUUAGGUGUGAUAUUCAUACGAGAAAACGUGAGAUGAUGCUAAAUUUUUUGUUUCAAAUUUUGCUAUGAAUUUUUAACUUUUUUAUAUGCACAGAAGAUAUUUAGAUAAGAUGAUGCUGAAAUGAUUGCCCACUAAGAUAGCUUAGGAUUUAAACGUUUAAG
This 819-nucleotide long non-coding RNA is filed under the name Olea europaea subsp. europaea. The record is from RNAcentral. Lineage: Eukaryota; Viridiplantae; Streptophyta; Magnoliopsida; Lamiales; Oleaceae.